UGGGGAAUUUUGGACAAUGGGGGAAACCCUGAUCCAGCCAUCCCGCGUGUGCGAUGAGGGCCUUCGGGUUGUAAAGCACUUUUGGCAGGAAAGAAACGUCGCGGGUUAAUACCCCGCGAAACUGACGGUACCUGCAGAAUAAGCACCGGCUAACUACGUGCCAGCAGCCGCGGUAAUACGUAGGGUGCAAGCGUUAAUCGGAAUUACUGGGCGUAAAGCGUGCGCAGGCGGUUCGGAAAGAAAGAUGUGAAAUCCCAGAGCUCAACUUUGGAACUGCAUUUUUAACUACCGGGCUAGAGUGUGUCAGAGGGAGGUGGAAUUCCGCGUGUAGCAGUGAAAUGCGUAGAUAUGCGGAGGAACACCGAUGGCGAAGGCAGCCUCCUGGGAUAACACUGACGCUCAUGCACGAAAGCGUGGGGAGCAAACA
RNAcentral lists this ribosomal RNA (427 nucleotides) under uncultured bacterium. Its description in RNAcentral is "bacterial SSU rRNA". It matches the Rfam family "Bacterial small subunit ribosomal RNA", at positions 355 to 774 of the family's 1533-position model. The record is from RNAcentral.